AUCCCAUUCAAGUCAUGGGACCGAUAAUAAUAUUUCACAUAUUAAGUGACUUUGUUGAGCUUCACAAUGCAUUUUUUAUUUUUGAAUGAUUUCAACAUUUUUUGCGAGAAAUGCCUCUCUACUUGAAUGGGAUUUGUGCCACGGAUGCUAAAACGUUAGCAAGUUGAAACAGUGCCAGGGGAAACUUAACCAAAGCAUGGACUGCUGUCACACCAUGUUCAUAGACUGGUAAAAGGGUAAGGAAACCAAUGUGUCAUUUUGUAAUUUGGGUGAACCUUCAAGAUAUUAUAACAAUAUAUUAGCAAGAGAAUAGAGGUGUAACGACUAGCUUUGCUUUGGAGCCAUAGCUCUUCAGUCCAUGUUCUGUGGUGGUUCUCUUCAGUUCAUGUUCUGUGAUGGUUCUCUUUAGCCCAUGUUCUGUGGUGGUUCACUUCCAUCCAUGUUCUGUGGUGGUUCUCUUUAGUCCAGGUUCUGUGGUGGUUCUCUUUAGUCCAGGUUCUGUGGUGAUUCUCUUCAGUCCAUGUUCUGUGGUGGUUCUCUUCAGUCCAUGUUCUGUGAUGGUUCUCUUUAGUCCAGGUUCUGUGGUGGUUCUCUUCAGUCCAGGUUCUGUGAUGGUUCUCAUCAGUCCAAGUUCUGUGGUGGUUCUCUUCAGUCCAGGUUCUGUGGUGGUUGUCUUCAGUCCAGGUUCUGUGGUGGUUCUCUUUAGUCCAGGUUCUGUGGUGAUUCUCUUCAGUCCAUGUUCUGUGGUGGUUCUCUUCAGUCCAUGUUCUGUGAUGGUUCUCUUUAGUCCAGGUUCUGUGGUGGUUCUCUUCAGUCCAGGUUCUGUGAUGGUUCUCAUCAGUCCAAGUUCUGUGGUGGUUCUCUUCAGUCCAGGUUCUGUGGUGGUUGUCUUCAGUCCAGGUUCUGUGGUGGUUGUCUUCAGUCCAGGUUCUGUGGUGGUUCUAUCAGUCCAGGUUCUGUGGUGGUUUUCUUCAGUCCAGGUUCUGUGGUGGUUCUCUUCAGUCCAGGUUCUGUGGUGGUUCUAUCAGUCCAGGUUCUGUGGUGGUUGUCUUCAGUCCAGGUUCUGUGGUGGUUUUCUCCCCUGGAGUCCCUCACACUCAGAGACAGCGACACAGGAAACACAGUAUGAGCACUUUACACACUGCUCUGCAGCAUUCUCUCUCACCUCUACUUUCUGUGUCUCUCUCUCACUCACCCAAUUACCCACUCACACAAACAAACACAAAAACUGUAUACAAAAUAAACACAUAAAUGAAUACGUUAUAACAUACUUACUGCCAG
Molecule: long non-coding RNA, 1281 nt
Filed under: Salmo salar (Atlantic salmon)
Lineage: Eukaryota; Metazoa; Chordata; Actinopteri; Salmoniformes; Salmonidae
Description: lncRNA (ENSSSAG00000119925.1)
Source: RNAcentral